UACGAAGGGGGCUAGCGUUGCUCGGAAUUACUGGGCGUAAAGCGUGCGCAGGCGGCUUUGCAAGACAGAUGUGAAAUCCCCGGGCUUAACCUGGGAACUGCAUUUGUGACUGCAUCGCUGGAGUGCGGCAGAGGGGGAUGGAAUUCCGCGUGUAGCAGUGAAAUGCGUAGAUAUGCGGAGGAACACCGAUGGCGAAGGCAAUCCCCUGGGCCUGCACUGACGCUCAUGCACGAAAGCGUGGGGAGCAAACAGG
This 253-nucleotide ribosomal RNA is filed under the name uncultured bacterium. RNAcentral's name for it is "partial 16S ribosomal RNA". It matches the Rfam family "Bacterial small subunit ribosomal RNA", at positions 524 to 776 of the family's 1533-position model. The record is from RNAcentral.